This 440-nucleotide long non-coding RNA is filed under the name Serinus canaria (Common canary). RNAcentral describes it as "lncRNA (ENSSCAG00000008007.1)". The record is from RNAcentral. Lineage: Eukaryota; Metazoa; Chordata; Aves; Passeriformes; Fringillidae.
CUUGCCUGUUUAAAAAGUGAGGAUAAUAAUUUAAAAAAAAAAAAGAGCCCAAGGAGAGAGGAAUCCUCUUAACAGAAGGAAGGAGGAGGGAACGAAUGGAGCAGAGGAGGAAACCUUCAGUGCUGGGCAGAAGGAAGCCUGUGGGGAGAGGCAGAACCAGCUUUGCAUGGGAACAACUCAUCCAAGGAGAGGAUCCAAAGGAGCAGGGAAUGCUGGUUUUAAUCUGCUUCCAUGGGCUGAAAUGACUCCUGUGUUCAAGCUGGCAUUACCGACAGGGAUACAACUGCAGUUUGGGUAUCAGCUCUCUGGGACCUGCAACCUGCCUGGCAAGGAAACAUCAUCAGCCCUCUUAUCUGCUCCUUGCCUGAAUUCUGCCUGGAUUUCUGACUGGUGAGGCUUAUUGGAAGCAGCAUCCCUGUGAGCAGGAGAGCAGCUGCUCU